This 460-nucleotide ribosomal RNA is filed under the name uncultured bacterium. RNAcentral's name for it is "partial 16S ribosomal RNA". It matches the Rfam family "Bacterial small subunit ribosomal RNA", at positions 338 to 795 of the family's 1533-position model. The record is from RNAcentral.
CCUACGGGAGGCAGCAGUGAGGAAUAUUGGUCAAUGGACGAGAGUCUGAACCAGCCAAGUAGCGUGAAGGAUGACUGCCCUAUGGGUUGUAAACUUCUUUUAUAUGGGAAUAAAAUGUUCCACGUGUGGGAUUUUGUAUGUACCAUAUGAAUAAGGAUCGGCUAACUCCGUGCCAGCAGCCGCGGUAAUACGGAGGAUCCGAGCGUUAUCCGGAUUUAUUGGGUUUAAAAGGAGCGUAGGUGGAUUGUUAAGUCAGUUGUGAAAGUUUGCGGCUCAACCGUAAAAUUGCAGUUGAAACUGGCAGUCUUGAGUACAGUAGAGGUGGGCGGAAUUCGUGGUGUAGCGGUGAAAUGCUUAGAGAUCACGAAGAACUCCGAUUGCGAAGGCAGUUCACUGGACUGCAACUGACACUGAGGCUCGAAAGUGUGGGUAUCAAACAGGAUUAGAUACCCGUGUAGUC